Transfer RNA from Camelus ferus (Wild Bactrian camel), 73 nucleotides. It matches the Rfam family "tRNA". Rfam says of the family: Transfer RNA (tRNA) molecules are approximately 80 nucleotides in length. Their secondary structure includes four short double-helical elements and three loops (D, anti-codon, and T loops). Further hydrogen bonds mediate the characteristic L-shaped molecular structure. tRNAs have two regions of fundamental functional importance: the anti-codon, which is responsible for specific mRNA codon recognition, and the 3' end, to which the tRNAs corresponding amino acid is attached (by aminoacyl-tRNA synthetases). tRNAs cope with the degeneracy of the genetic code in two manners: having more than one tRNA (with a specific anti-codon) for a particular amino acid; and 'wobble' base-pairing, i.e. permitting non-standard base-pairing at the 3rd anti-codon position. Lineage: Eukaryota; Metazoa; Chordata; Mammalia; Artiodactyla; Camelidae. The record is from Rfam.
GGAGUUAUAGCUUAAAUGGUAGAGCCCAUGCUUAGCAGGCAUGAGGUCCUGGGUUUAACCCCCAGUAUCUCCU